Molecule: ribosomal RNA, 546 nt
Filed under: uncultured Methanosarcinales archaeon
Lineage: Archaea; Methanobacteriati; Methanobacteriota; Methanomicrobia; Methanosarcinales
Description: bacterial SSU rRNA
Rfam family: Archaeal small subunit ribosomal RNA
Source: RNAcentral
AACCCCGAGUGCCAGCAUCAAAUGUUGGCUGUCCGGAUGAUUAAAGAUCAUUUGUUAGCAAGGGCCGGGCAAGACCGGUGCCAGCCGCCGCGGUAACACCGGCGGCCCGAGUGGUAGCCGUUUUUAUUGGGUCUAAAGGGUCCGUAGCCGGCCUGAUCAGUCCUUUGGGAAAUCUGGCAGCUUAACUGUCAGGCUUCUAAGGGAUACUGUCAGGCUUGGGACCGGAAGAGGUAAGGGGUACUCCAGGGGUAGGAGUGAAAUCUUGUAAUCCCAGGGGGACCAUCUGUGGCGAAGGCGCCUUACCAGAACGGGUCCGACGGUGAGGGACGAAAGCUAGGGGAGCAAACCGGAUUAGAUACCCGGGUAGUCCUAGCUGUAAACGAUGCUCGCUAGGUGUCAGACACGGUGCGACCGUGUUUGGUGCCGCAGGGAAGCCGUUAAGCGAGCCACCUGGGAAGUACGGUCGCAAGGCUGAAACUUAAAGGAAUUGGCGGGGGAGCACUACAACGGGUGGAGCCUGCGGUUUAAUUGGAUUCAACGCCGGAA